UCGGACUGUAGUCUGCAACCCGACUACACGAAGCUGGAAUCGCUAGUAAUCGCGAAUCAGAAUGUCGCGGUGAACACGUUCCCGGGUCUUGUACACACCGCCCGUCACACCAUGGGAGUCGGGAAUGCCCGAAGUCAGUGACCCAACCUAUUGGAGGGAGCUGCCGAAGGCAGGUCUGAUAACUGGGGUGAAGUCGUAACAAGGUAUC
Molecule: ribosomal RNA, 208 nt
Filed under: uncultured bacterium
Lineage: Bacteria
Description: partial 16S ribosomal RNA
Rfam family: Bacterial small subunit ribosomal RNA
Source: RNAcentral